GACGAACGCUGGCGGCGUGCUUAACACAUGCGAGUCGAACGGAAAGGCCCUGCUUUUGUGGGGUGCUCGAGUGGCGAACGGGUGAGUAACACGUGAGUAACCUGCCCUUGACUUUGGGAUAACUUCAGGAAACUGGGGCUAAUACCGGAUAGGAGCUCCUGCUGCAUGGUGGGGGUUGGAAAGUUUCGGCGGUUGGGGAUGGACUCGCGGCUUAUCAGCUUGUUGGUGGGGUAGUGGCUUACCAAGGCUUUGACGGGUAGCCGGCCUGAGAGGGUGACCGGCCACAUUGGGACUGAGAUACGGCCCAGACUCCUACGCGAGGCAGCAGUGGGGAAUAUUGCACAAUGGGCGGAAGCCUGAUGCAGCAACGCCGCGUGCGGGAUGACGGCCUUCGGGUUGUAAACCGCUUUCGCCUGUGACGAAGCGUGAGUGACGGUAAUGGGUAAAGAAGCACCGGCUAACUACGUG
Molecule: ribosomal RNA, 468 nt
Filed under: uncultured bacterium
Lineage: Bacteria
Description: partial 16S ribosomal RNA
Rfam family: Bacterial small subunit ribosomal RNA
Source: RNAcentral